UCCUACGGGAGGCAGCAGUGGGGAAUAUUGGACAAUGGGCCACAAGCCUGAUCCAGCAAUUCUGUGUGCACGAUGAAGGUCUUCGGAUCGUAAAGUGCUUUCAGUUGGGAGGAAGAAAGUGACGGUACCAACAGAAGAAGCGACGGCUAAAUACGUGCCAGCAGCCGCGGUAAU
Molecule: ribosomal RNA, 174 nt
Filed under: uncultured Cetobacterium sp.
Lineage: Bacteria; Fusobacteriati; Fusobacteriota; Fusobacteriia; Fusobacteriales; Fusobacteriaceae
Description: partial 16S rRNA
Rfam family: Bacterial small subunit ribosomal RNA
Source: RNAcentral